RNAcentral lists this ribosomal RNA (1161 nucleotides) under Staphylococcus aureus. RNAcentral's name for it is "partial 23S ribosomal RNA". It matches the Rfam family "Bacterial large subunit ribosomal RNA", at positions 369 to 1536 of the family's 2925-position model. The record is from RNAcentral. Lineage: Bacteria; Bacillati; Bacillota; Bacilli; Caryophanales; Staphylococcaceae.
AAUCCUGUAGUCGAAAAUGUUGUCUCUCUUGAGUGGAUCCUGAGUACGACGGAGCACGUGAAAUUCCGUCGGAAUCUGGGAGGACCAUCUCCUAAGGCUAAAUACUCUCUAGUGACCGAUAGUGAACCAGUACCGUGAGGGAAAGGUGAAAAGCACCCCGGAAGGGGAGUGAAAUAGAACCUGAAACCGUGUGCUUACAAGUAGUCAGAGCCCGUUAAUGGGUGAUGGCGUGCCUUUUGUAGAAUGAACCGGCGAGUUACGAUUUGAUGCAAGGUUAAGCGGUAAAUGUGGAGCCGUAGCGAAAGCGAGUCUGAAUAGGGCGUUUAGUAUUUGGUCGUAGACCCGAAACCAGGUGAUCUACCCUUGGUCAGGUUGAAGUUCAGGUAACACUGAAUGGAGGACCGAACCGACUUACGUUGAAAAGUGAGCGGAUGAACUGAGGGUAGCGGAGAAAUUCCAAUCGAACCUGGAGAUAGCUGGUUCUCUCCGAAAUAGCUUUAGGGCUAGCCUCAAGUGAUGAUUAUUGGAGGUAGAGCACUGUUUGGACGAGGGGCCCCUCUCGGGUUACCGAAUUCAGACAAACUCCGAAUGCCAAUUAAUUUAACUUGGGAGUCAGAACAUGGGUGAUAAGGUCCGUGUUCGAAAGGGAAACAGCCCAGACCACCAGCUAAGGUCCCAAAAUAUAUGUUAAGUGGAAAAGGAUGUGGCGUUGCCCAGACAACUAGGAUGUUGGCUUAGAAGCAGCCAUCAUUUAAAGAGUGCGUAAUAGCUCACUAGUCGAGUGACACUGCGCCGAAAAUGUACCGGGGCUAAACAUAUUACCGAAGCUGUGGAUUGUCCUUUGGACAAUGGUAGGAGAGCGUUCUAAGGGCGUUGAAGCAUGAUCGUAAGGACAUGUGGAGCGCUUAGAAGUGAGAAUGCCGGUGUGAGUAGCGAAAGACGGGUGAGAAUCCCGUCCACCGAUUGACUAAGGUUUCCAGAGGAAGGCUCGUCCGCUCUGGGUUAGUCGGGUCCUAAGCUGAGGCCGACAGGCGUAGGCGAUGGAUAACAGGUUGAUAUUCCUGUACCACCUAUAAUCGUUUUAAUCGAUGGGGGGACGCAGUAGGAUAGGCGAAGCGUGCGAUUGGAUUGCACGUCUAAGCAGUAAGGCUGAGUAUUAGG